This 460-nucleotide ribosomal RNA is filed under the name uncultured bacterium. RNAcentral describes it as "partial 16S ribosomal RNA". It matches the Rfam family "Bacterial small subunit ribosomal RNA", at positions 338 to 795 of the family's 1533-position model. The record is from RNAcentral.
CCUACGGGAGGCAGCAGUGAGGAAUAUUGGUCAAUGGGCUUACGCCUGAACCAGCCAAGUCGCGUGAGGGAAGACUGCACUAUGUGUUGUAAACCUCUUUUGUCAGGGAGCAACGCCGGCUACGUGUCGCCGGACUAAGAGUCCCUGAAGAAAAAGCAUCGGCUAACUCCGUGCCAGCACCCGCGGUAAUCCGGCGGAUGCGAGCGUUAUCCGGAUUUAUUGGGUUUAAAGGGUGCGUAGGCGGCAUGCCAAGUCAGCGGUAAAAUCGCGGGGCUCAACCCCGCUCAGCCGUUGAACCUGGCGUUCUGGAGUUGGCGAGAAGUACGCGGAAUGCGUGGUGUAGCGGUGAAAUGCAUAGAUAUCACGCAGAACUCCGAUUGCGAAGGCAGCAUACCGGCGCCAAACUGACGCUGAAGCACGAAAGCGUGGGUAUCGAACAGGAUUAGAUACCCGGGUAGUC